RNAcentral lists this ribosomal RNA (367 nucleotides) under uncultured fungus. RNAcentral's name for it is "eukaryotic LSU rRNA". The stretch from base 1 to 125 matches the Rfam family "5.8S ribosomal RNA", at positions 30 to 154 of the family's 154-position model. The record is from RNAcentral. Lineage: Eukaryota; Fungi.
GCAUCGAUGAAGAACGCAGCGAAAUGCGAUAAGUAAUGCGAAUUGCAGAAUUCAGUGAAUCAUCGAAUCUUUGAACGCACAUUGCGCCCGCCAGUAUUCUGGCGGGCAUGCCUGUCUGAGCGUCGUUUCGACCCUCGCGCCCGGCUUCUGUCGGGGGCGGUGUUGGGGAUCGGCCACACCCACUCCGGUGGGAGGCCGGCCCCUAAAUCCAGUGGCGGCCACGCUGUAGCCUCCCCUGCGUAGUACUAAAACCACCUCGCAGGCGGAGAGCGGUGCGGCCCGCCGUAAAACCCCCCAACUUUUACAAGGUCGACCUCAGAUCAGGUAGGAAUACCCGCUGAACUUAAGCAUAUCAAUAAGCGGAGGA